This 497-nucleotide ribosomal RNA is filed under the name uncultured bacterium. RNAcentral's name for it is "partial 16S ribosomal RNA". It matches the Rfam family "Bacterial small subunit ribosomal RNA", at positions 28 to 507 of the family's 1533-position model. The record is from RNAcentral.
GAUGAACGCUGGCGGCGUGCCUAAUACAUGCAAGUCGAGCGAACGGACGAGAAGCUUGCUUCUCUGAUGUUAGCGGCGGACGGGUGAGUAACACGUGGAUAACCUACCUAUAUGACUGGGAUAACUUCGGGAAACCGUAUCUACUACCGGAUAAUAUUUUGAACCGCUUGGUUCAAAAGUGAAAUACGGUCUUGCUGUCUCUUCUAGAUGGAUCCGCGCUGCAUUAGCUAGUUGGUAAGGUAACGGCUUACCAAGGCAACGAUGCAUAGACGACGUGAGAGGGUGAUCGGCGACACUGGAAGGGAGACAGGGACAAGAGUACUACGGGAGGGAGCAGAAGGGAAUGUGAGGCAAGGGGGGAAAGCAUGACGGAGAAAGGGCGAGUGAGUGAUGAAGGUGUUGGGAUAGUAAAACACUGUUAUGAGGGAAGAACAUAUGUGAAAGAAAAAGAGGAGAAAGUGACGGUACCGAAAGAGAAAGCAACGGCUAACUACGUG